Long non-coding RNA from Mercurialis annua (annual mercury), 624 nucleotides. RefSeq lists it as uncharacterized. The record is from RefSeq and is a predicted model, not a curated record. Lineage: Eukaryota; Viridiplantae; Streptophyta; Magnoliopsida; Malpighiales; Euphorbiaceae. The transcript has 2 exons.
UAUUUUUUGUGUUCGCUUGAUCAAAUAGAGAAUUAAUCAUACAAGAAAAAUUUACAUCAUGUACUAUAAAAAAACAAGAAUAUAUUUAUAAAAAUAUUGUACCAAUCUUUACAAAAAUACUAGCUCUCUUCUUCAUCUUUCACAUCUCUUUAUUGCUUUGGAACCCUUUUUGUUUUCUUUCUCUUCCUCCAUUAUUAUCCACUACCACCAUCAAUCUGUGCCGUCCUCAGUUCGCUGCUACCACCAUCGCCCUUAGUUUUAUGCCGUUACCACCAUUAGCUCAUCGUCGAUGCCGCUGCUGCCAACAGCUCAUCGAUGCCGCCUCCGACAUCGGUUCCAUUUUUCCGCCGCCACUCGUUCUCACCCAGUUUUCAAAUAUGAAAAAUAGCCUUGAAUCAGAUUUGAAACCAUUGGAUAAUAUUAGUGCGAUUGUGGAAAAUUUGGCUGUCUACUUCAAGUGGGCCAUUCUGGAUAAAGGCCUCCAAUACUGAAAAGGAAGAAAUGGUCCCAACUAAUAUCCUCCUAACCCUUUGGAGGUGACUGAGCUUAUGACAUCUUCAUGUUCCGAAUUUGGAUGGAUUUGAGCCGAACCUAAUCAGACUUGAUAUUUAUUUUUAUUGUAAA